ACUCCUACGGGAGGCAGCAGUGGGGAAUAUUGGACAAUGGGGGAAACCCUGAUCCAGCAAUGCCGCGUGAGUGAUGAAGGCCUUAGGGUUGUAAAGCUCUUUUACCAGGGAUGAUAAUGACAGUACCUGGAGAAUA
This 136-nucleotide ribosomal RNA is filed under the name uncultured Erythrobacter sp. RNAcentral describes it as "partial 16S ribosomal RNA". It matches the Rfam family "Bacterial small subunit ribosomal RNA", at positions 335 to 488 of the family's 1533-position model. Lineage: Bacteria; Pseudomonadati; Pseudomonadota; Alphaproteobacteria; Sphingomonadales; Erythrobacteraceae. The record is from RNAcentral.